RNAcentral lists this ribosomal RNA (497 nucleotides) under uncultured bacterium. RNAcentral describes it as "bacterial SSU rRNA". It matches the Rfam family "Bacterial small subunit ribosomal RNA", at positions 29 to 520 of the family's 1533-position model. The record is from RNAcentral.
AGCGAACGUUUGCGGCGGGCUUAACACAUGCAAGUCGAACGAGAAUCCCUUCGGGGAGGAAAGUGGCGCACGGGUGCGUAACACGUGGAUAACCAACCCAUUGGUUUGGGACAACACCGGGAAACUGGUGCUAAUACCAGAUGUGUCGCAGCUGUCUUCAGGCGGUUGCGAGAAAGGCCCGCAAGGGUCGCCAACGGACGGGUCCGCGUCCCAUCAGCUAGUUGGUGAGGUAAUGGCUCACCAAGGCAAAGACGGGUAGCUGGUCUGAGAGGAUGAUCAGCCACACUGGAACUGAGACACGGUCCAGACUCCUACGGGAGGCAGCAGUGGGGAAUAUUGCGCAAUGGGCGAAAGCCUGACGCAGCCACGCCGCGUGAGCGAUGAAGGUCUUCGGAUCGUAAAGCUCUGUGGGGGGAGAAGAAGAAAGCCGGUGAAGAGCCGGCCCUGACGGUAUCCCCUUAGCAAGCACCGGCUAACUCCGUGCCAGCAGCCGACGG